CCUCAGACUGCUUCCUUCUUAUAAACUCUUGGUUCCUUAUUUAUCGUUUUUUUGUUUUUGAUUUUUAAGUUGUCUGACCUGAUUUUAUCAUAGUAGUUCCAAAUGCCUUACAGCCCAGUGGAGUCAAGCUAAGGAAGGACAGCAUGAUUUCCACAGGAUUUGUAUUUCUUCCCUCUGGAUAAAGUGAUAGUAGAUCCCAGACUCACUGCCAGCAGGAUCCAAGGUGGUCUUUCCUCCAGUAUUUAAUCUGGUGUCAUCAGGAACCUACACUCAGGUUUUAUUGGAGAGCAAGCCUCAAUAAGAAGUGUGCUUUGAGGAGAAUCAAGGACUUAAUCUAGGCAUAAAAGGUGUUGCUCAGCACAAUACCCUCUACGAGACUGUGUGUAUAUCGCGAGUCGGAGGCCAAACACACCGUAUUUCAUCUGUAGCAUUCAAGACUUCAAACUGGUCCACAACUCCCAAGCCUGUUGCAGAUCUCCAACUCCUGCUUUGUGUGACCCCCGCAGCAUGCUCUCUGCCGGUGGCAUCACAGUCACCACAGCAUCUUUCUGAAGCUAGGAGAGGGCCUGUAGGGGUAAGGAGAAUCCCGUUUUUAAAAGCUAUCAGUAUUUUAUAUCCCAUAGGGUAUAAAAUAGGAAUAUUAUGUCCCUCCCCAGAGCCCCUUUUUAAAAUGUGCUGUAUUAUAUGUGUUUUUAAAGGAGUAACAAGUACAUGCACAGAGGAAGCAAAAUACGGGACUUGCCUUACCCCUCUAGGACAGUUCCAGAAGUUAGCGGGGUUUGGUGGAAGGGUAUUUUGGCACCAGCAGAGAGCAUGCUGGGCUGCUGCAAGGAGCAGGAGCUGGCAAUCAACAGCGAGUUUGGAUGUUGGCAACUGAAAUGGGGAGAAAAGGGGGUAAGUUUGAGUUCAAGUGUGGAAUGUGAAUUUCCCCAGGCUCAUUGGGACUCAUGACCCACAAAUCUAAACUAUUUUGGGUGUUGUCCUCUCGGGUGACAUUUUGUAGGGUGUUGCUCAGAAAUAGCGAGGCUUUUCUCCAGUGCUAGAUGCAGAAUACGCACUUCAAGAGGCUUGGGUCGGGCUGUAGCUAUACUUCUUAAGAGCUAUCCCUUGGUUAUUCCUCUGUUACUAGUGGUGGUCCUGAGGGAUGUGUAAGAGGCAGCAGGAUGAAGUAUCUGUAGUGCUUUAUCCCUUAAAGCACAGGAACCCAUGUGGGUGAUCAUAGGGGUUAUUAUUGUGUAGUGCAUCUCCCUUUUUAGGAAAGUUCACACUUGUCUUCCUUUUUUUUCCUGUAAUCGUAGGACUUAAUGGAGGACUUAAUGGUAAUGUUUUCUGAAAGUCGAGUAUUUAUUAUUCCGAAUGACUACUGGGUUAACAUGAAAGAAGUGUAGUUUUAGUUAAGCAUUGAAGUCAGUGUGAAGAAGUGACUGUGGCUCCCCAGUUCAUACUGAAUUAGCAAAUAAUACAAGAGGAUAGCAAGCUCUCUCACACUUAGACACACACAAUGCAGCAUACUGUCAAUAUACAGUGAAUUGUUCAGUUGCAGUGCAGAAUAUUAAUAUCUUGGGGUGAAGAAAAGAAAGUGCUCCAGAUGGGAUGUGGCACUUGGGGAAGUUCUGUGAAGGUGGGUAGGUUUUGAGGAGCUGGGUAUGUUUUUCACACAUCAAUAAGAAGUGGAUAGGCAGAGUAUAGGAGCCUUGCAGGUGUACCUGGCAGCCUGUCCUUAUAAGCAACACAGGCAGUGAGGCUGACGAGUCUGGGAGUUGUGAGAAGAUGACCCGCAGGACGUCACUGAAGAGCAUGGGUUAGUGGAUUUUGGGAGGCAGAUGUGGAGAUAUAAAAUGGGGCUAGAUUAUAGAGAAUCUUCAAAGUUAGCAAAGUUAAGAUUUUGUGUAAUAGGCAGUAGAGAGCUUGUGUAAGCUUUUUUAUUCGAGAUGAGCCAUCUUGCAGACCACUGCUUAAGAAGACUGACUGUGGCAGUUUGCAGUGUGGAAGGGGGAAAGAUGGUGAAAGCUCCAAGUAGGAGGCUAGGGCUGCCAUUCGUGGGUAAGAUGAAGAGGACCAAGACAGUAGAGAUGAUAUAUAGAUAAUUGUAACCAAAUCAGGAGUAAUUGUUGGAACAGCAUAACACAUUUACAUAUUUGCUGAUGUAAUUACUCAAGGGUCAUAUCAUAAAAAGGGGUGGGGGUUUCACAUUAUGGAAACCUUGGAAUUCUCUGUCUUACGGUGGAAGACAGAACCCAGUGUAGUGUAGACAAAAGUCUAAUUUUAAUUCCCAGAGAAAGACUGAUAUCUUAUGGGACAAAUUAGUAUAUUCCCAUUCCUAAUAAUGGUGUACCUAGCUGGUGGGUAAUUGCAGGCUUUCAACCUCCAGUUCAUCUUCAUGAGAUCAAUGUUGAUUCAGAACAAUAAGUGUCAGGUCUAUGACACCUUUAAAGUUAUGCUUAAAUGUGAGUCUGUGACCACUAAUGAAUGACUACAGUUGUUUCAUGACUUGCUAAACAUACCUGGUUUUUCACAAGCAAUAGAUUUUUGAAGGAGAGGUAUUCACAGUGGGUGCUAGGAAGAUACACACAUUAAUUCUGUAGAAUUUAGCUAAAAUGUGUUCAGCCUAAGGGAUGACAUUAACAGAGACUUGUGAUCCUGCUUUGCAUCUCAUGAGUGCUGAGCAGUUGGUAGAGAUGGAUGGUAUUUUCC
This 2694-nucleotide long non-coding RNA is filed under the name Homo sapiens (human). RNAcentral's name for it is "HSALNT0409623". The record is from RNAcentral. Lineage: Eukaryota; Metazoa; Chordata; Mammalia; Primates; Hominidae.